AAGCAAUGAGGACAAUAUUUUUAUUGAAACAAAAUGAUUUUAUUAUACGCUAUUCUGAGCUUCUC
Physella acuta is the source of this 65-nucleotide small nucleolar RNA. RefSeq annotates it as small nucleolar RNA U54. NCBI's taxonomy places the organism in Eukaryota, Metazoa, Mollusca, Gastropoda, Physidae. The record is from RefSeq and is a predicted model, not a curated record.